Molecule: ribosomal RNA, 474 nt
Filed under: uncultured bacterium
Lineage: Bacteria
Description: bacterial SSU rRNA
Rfam family: Bacterial small subunit ribosomal RNA
Source: RNAcentral
CACAUGCAAGUCAGGGGCAGCAUAACGAAAGCUUGCUUUGUUGAUGGCGACCGGCGCACGGGUGAGUAACGCGUAUCCAACCUUCCCUGUAGUAGAGGAUAGCCCGGCGAAAGUCGGAUUAAUACUCUAUGUUGUAUUUAGAGGACAUCUGAAGAAUACCAAAGGUUUACCGCUAUAGGAUGGGGAUGCGUCUGAUUAGGUUGUUGGCGGGGUAACGGCCCACCAAGCCCACGAUCAUAGGGGUUCUGAGAGGAAGGUCCCCCACAUUGGAACUGAGACACGGUCCAAACUCCUACGGGAGGCAGCAGUGAGGAAUAUUGGUCAAUGGACGGAAGUCUGAACCAGCCAAGUAGCGUGCAGGAUGACGGCCCUAUGGGUUGUAAACUGCUUUUAUAUGGGGAUAAAGUGAGGGACGUGUCCCUUUUUGUAGGUACCAUAUGAAUAAGGACCGGCUAAUUCCGUGCCAGCAGCCGC